UUGAAAGGGAAACGAUUGAAGUCAGUCGUACUUGCGGGCAAUCAGCCUUUUGGGUGUGAUUAUGUGGGGCGUGAGGAGUUAAUCACCCUCAUCUUUGCAUAUUCGUGCACUUUGGGUGUACUUGCUCGUCUGGUAGGUUAACAUCAAUUUUGGUCAUCAUAAAAUGAUUGGAGGAAUGUAGCUUCGAUCUCGUAUUGAAGUGUUAUAGCCUUUGGUAGAUGUGAUGAUCGAGAUUGAGGAUUGCAACGGAUACCCUUCUGGGCUUACCCGUCUGGUCUCUGAAAGUUGCUCUGGUGCUGAAAGCUUGCUUAUGGUAUCAAAGUUUUGACGUUCAAUAGGUUAGAACGGGAUAAAUUCGUUAAGGAUGUUGACGUA
This 375-nucleotide ribosomal RNA is filed under the name uncultured Glomeromycotina. Its description in RNAcentral is "LSU rRNA". Lineage: Eukaryota; Fungi; Glomeromycota. The record is from RNAcentral.